UAGUGAAAGUUCAGAGUAGGCCGCUCGUGGUAGAAGUUCGGCUAUCGCAGGAGCUCAGCUAGAAUUCUGAAAGCGGUCGAUCACCGUAGAAACAUGGAAGGAGCCUGGUUACUGUAGAAAUCUCAUUAUCGGGGAAGCUCGGAUGCUGACGAAGCUCGAAAGAAGUUCGGGGGUAGUCGAUUGCUAUAGAAGGACGGUUAAUAGCGA
Molecule: long non-coding RNA, 207 nt
Filed under: Elaeis guineensis (African oil palm)
Lineage: Eukaryota; Viridiplantae; Streptophyta; Magnoliopsida; Arecales; Arecaceae
Description: long non-coding RNA (EGUI_LNC061878)
Source: RNAcentral